Molecule: ribosomal RNA, 551 nt
Filed under: Moesziomyces aphidis
Lineage: Eukaryota; Fungi; Basidiomycota; Ustilaginomycetes; Ustilaginales; Ustilaginaceae
Description: LSU rRNA
Rfam family: Eukaryotic large subunit ribosomal RNA
Source: RNAcentral
CGAGUGAAGAGGGAAGAGCCCAAGAUUGAAAGCUGGCGUCUUCGGCGUCCGCAUUGUAAUCUCAAGAAGUGUUUUCCGCUUCGGACCAAGCCUAAGUCCCUUGGAAAAGGGCAUCAUAGAGGGUGAUAAUCCCGUACAUGGCUUGGAGCGCCCGAAGCUUUGUGAUACGCUUUCUAAGAGUCGAGUUGUUUGGGAAUGCAGCUCAAAAUGGGUGGUAAAUGCCAUCUAAGGCUAAAUAUUGGGGAGAGACCGAUAGCGAACAAGUACAGUGAUGGAAAGAUGAAAAGAACUUUGAAAAGAGAGUUAAACAGUACGUGAAAUUGCCAAAAGGGAAGGGUAGGAGGUCAGAGAUGCGGCCUGGGAUUCAGCCUUGCUUUUGCUUGGUGUUUUUCCCAGAUUGCAGGCCAACGUCGGUUUUGGGCACUGGAGAAGGGUAGGAGGAACGUGGCACCUCUCGGGGUGUGUUAUAGCCUCCUACUGGAUACAGCGACCGAGACCGAGGACAGCAGCGUACUCGCAAGAGCGGGCCUUCGGGCACCUUUACGCUUAGG